ACGAACCGUGCGAACGUUGUUCGGAAUCACUGGGCUUAAAGGGCGCGUAGGCGGGCGGCCAAGUCGGGGGUGAAAUCUUUCAGCUUAACUGGAAAAUAGCCUUCGAUACUGGUUGUCUAGAGGGAGGUAGGGGCAGCCGGAAUUUCCGGUGUAGCGGUGAAAUGCGUAGAUAUCGGAAGGAACAUCAGUGGCGAAAGCGACUUCCUGGACCAGUACCGACGUUCAGGCACGAAAGCGUGGGGAGCAAACAGGA
Molecule: ribosomal RNA, 253 nt
Filed under: uncultured prokaryote
Description: partial 16S ribosomal RNA
Rfam family: Bacterial small subunit ribosomal RNA
Source: RNAcentral